GCAAGUCGAGCGAACAGACGAGGAGCUUGCUCCUCUGACGUUAGCGGCGGACGGGUGAGUAACACGUGGAUAACCUACCUAUAAGACUGGGAUAACUUCGGGAAACCGGAGCUAAUACCGGAUAAUAUAUUGAACCGCAUGGUUCAAUAGUGAAAGACGGUUUUGCUGUCACUUAUAGAUGGAUCCGCGCCGCAUUAGCUAGUUGGUAAGGUAACGGCUUACCAAGGCAACGAUGCGUAGCCGACCUGAGAGGGUGAUCGGCCACACUGGAACUGAGACACGGUCCAGACUCCUACGGGAGGCAGCAGUAGGGAAUCUUCCGCAAUGGGCGAAAGCCUGACGGAGCAACGCCGCGUGAGUGAUGAAGGUCUUCGGAUCGUAAAACUCUGUUAUUAGGGAAGAACAAAUGUGUAAGUAACUAUGCACGUCUUGACGGUACCUAAUCAGAAAGCCACGGCUAACUACGUGCCAGCAGCCGCGGUAAUACGUAGGUGGCAAGCGUUAUCCGGAAUUAUUGGGCGUAAAGCGCGCGUAGGCGGUUUUUUAAGUCUGAUGUGAAAGCCCACGGCUCAACCGUGGAGGGUCAUUGGAAACUGGAAAACUUGAGUGCAGAAGAGGAAAGUGGAAUUCCAUGUGUAGCGGUGAAAUGCGUAGAGAUAUGGAGGAACACCAGUGGCGAAGGCGACUUUCU
Molecule: ribosomal RNA, 691 nt
Filed under: uncultured Staphylococcus sp.
Lineage: Bacteria; Bacillati; Bacillota; Bacilli; Caryophanales; Staphylococcaceae
Description: bacterial SSU rRNA
Rfam family: Bacterial small subunit ribosomal RNA
Source: RNAcentral